This 47-nucleotide ribosomal RNA is filed under the name Flavocetraria cucullata. RNAcentral's name for it is "partial 28S ribosomal RNA". The record is from RNAcentral. Lineage: Eukaryota; Fungi; Ascomycota; Lecanoromycetes; Lecanorales; Parmeliaceae.
AAUUGACCUCGGAUCAGGUAGGGAUACCCGCUGAACUUAAGCAUAUC